GUGCCAGCAGCCGCGGUAAUACGGAGGGUGCAAGCGUUGUUCGGAUUUAUUGGGCGUAAAGCGCGUGUAGGCGGUUUUCUAAGUCUGAUGUGAAAGCCCCGGGCUCAACCCGGGAAGUGCAUUGGAUACUGGAAGACUUGAAUACGGGAGAGGGUAGUGGAAUUCCUAGUGUAGGAGUGAAAUCCGUAGAUAUUAGGAGGAACACCGGUGGCGAAGGCGGCUACCUGGACCGAUAUUGACGCUGAGACGCGAAAGCGUGGGGAUCAAACAGGAUUAGAUACCCUUGUAGUCC
This 292-nucleotide ribosomal RNA is filed under the name uncultured bacterium. Its description in RNAcentral is "partial 16S ribosomal RNA". It matches the Rfam family "Bacterial small subunit ribosomal RNA", at positions 505 to 796 of the family's 1533-position model. The record is from RNAcentral.